RNAcentral lists this ribosomal RNA (406 nucleotides) under uncultured bacterium. Its description in RNAcentral is "partial 16S ribosomal RNA". It matches the Rfam family "Bacterial small subunit ribosomal RNA", at positions 28 to 526 of the family's 1533-position model. The record is from RNAcentral.
GAUGAACGCUGGCGGCGUGCCUAAUACAUGCAAGUCGAGCGAGCGGCGGUCGGGUGAGCAAUGUCUGGGAAACUGCCUGAUGGAGUGGGAUCACUACUGGAAACGGUAGCCAAUACCGCAUCCCAUCAGCUUUGCCCAGAUUGGAUUAGCUAGUGGGUGGGGUAAUGGCUCACCUAGGCGACGAUCCCUAGCUGGUCUGAGAGGAUGACCAGCCACACUGGAACUGAGACACGGUCCAGACUCCUACGGGAGGCAGCAGUGGGGAAUAUUGCACAAUGGGCGCAAGCCUGAUGCAGCCAUGCCGCGUGUGUGAAGAAGGCCUUCGGGUUGUAAAGCACUUUCAGCGGGGAGGCGUUACUAGCAGAAGAAGCACCGGCUAACUCCGUGCCAGCAGCCGCGGUAAUAC